Molecule: unclassified non-coding RNA, 334 nt
Filed under: soil metagenome
Description: partial contains 5.8S ribosomal RNA, internal transcribed spacer 2, and large subunit ribosomal RNA
Rfam family: 5.8S ribosomal RNA (bases 5-119)
Source: RNAcentral
GAUGAGAACGCAGCGAAAUGCGAUAAGUAAUGUGAAUUGCAGAAUUCAGUGAAUCAUCGAAUCUUUGAACGCACAUUGCGCCCGCCAGUAUUCUGGCGGGCAUGCCUGUUCGAGCGUCAUUUCAACCAUCAAGCCCCCGGCUUGUGUUGGGGACCUGCGGCUGCCGCAGGCCCUGAAAACCAGUGGCGGGCUCGCUAGUCACUCCGAGCGUAGUAAUACAUCUCGCUCAGGGCGUGCUGCGGGUUCCGGCCGUUAAAAAGCCUUAUUUACCCAAGGUUGACCUCGGAUCAGGUAGGAAGACCCGCUGAACUUAAGCAUAUCAAUAAGCGGAGGA